RNAcentral lists this ribosomal RNA (1130 nucleotides) under Thiobacillus denitrificans. RNAcentral describes it as "bacterial LSU rRNA". It matches the Rfam family "Bacterial large subunit ribosomal RNA", at positions 677 to 1791 of the family's 2925-position model. Lineage: Bacteria; Pseudomonadati; Pseudomonadota; Betaproteobacteria; Nitrosomonadales; Thiobacillaceae. The record is from RNAcentral.
GCGAGUCUUAAUAGGGCGCAUAGUAGCGGGGCGUAGACCCGAAACCGGAUGAUCUAUCCAUGGCCAGGAUGAAGGUGCGGUAACACGCACUGGAGGUCCGAACCCACUAAUGUUGAAAAAUUAGGGGAUGAGCUGUGGAUAGGGGUGAAAGGCUAAACAAAUCCGGAGAUAGCUGGUUCUCCUCGAAAGCUAUUUAGGUAGCGCCUCAUGUAUCACUCACGGGGGUAGAGCACUGUAAUGUUAGUGGGGGCCAUUGCGGCUUACUGCGGCAUAGCAAACUCCGAAUACCGUGAAGUGCGAGCAUGGGAGACAGACAUCGGGUGCUAACGUCCGGUGUCAAGAGGGAAACAACCCAGACCGACAGCUAAGGUCCCAAAUGACGUGCUAAGUGGAAAACGAUGUGGGAAGGCAUAGACAGCUAGGAAGUUGGCUUAGAAGCAGCCAUCCUUUAAAGAAAGCGUAAUAGCUCACUAGUCGAGUCGUCCUGCGCGGAAGAUGUAACGGGGCUAAGCACGUAACCGAAGCUUCGGAUAUGUAAUUUAUUACAUAUGGUAGAGGAGCGUUCUGUAAGUCUGCGAAGGUGUCUGGUAAUGGAUGCUGGAGAUAUCAGAAGUGCGAAUGCUGACAUGAGUAGCGAUAAAGGGAGUGAAAAGCUCCCUCGCCGAAAACCCAAGGUUUCCUGCGCAACGUUCAUCGGCGCAGGGUGAGUCGGCCCCUAAGGUGAGGCAGAGAUGCGUAGCUGAUGGGAAACGGGUCAAGAUUCCCGUACUUUCGUUUACUGCGAUGUGGGGACGGAGAAGGUUAGGUGAGCCGGGUGUUGGAUGUCCCGGUUUAAGUGAGUAGGCAGAUCCCUUAGGCAAAUCCGGGGGGUUAAUGUCGAGACACGAUGACGGUGCUCCAUUGGAGCCGAAGUCACUGAUACCAAGCUUCCAAGAAAAGCCACUAAGCUUCAGGUAAACGAGAACCGUACCGCAAACCGACACAGGUGGGUAGGAUGAGAAUUCUAAGGCGCUUGAGAGAACUCGGGUGAAGGAACUCGGCAAAUUAGCACCGUAACUUCGGGAUAAGGUGCGCCCCGGUAGGUUGUAGAGCUUCGCGCUCGAAGGCCGAUGGGGUUGCAGUGAAAUGGU